This is a long non-coding RNA of Alnus glutinosa, 1265 nucleotides long. RefSeq lists it as uncharacterized. NCBI's taxonomy places the organism in Eukaryota, Viridiplantae, Streptophyta, Magnoliopsida, Fagales, Betulaceae. The record is from RefSeq and is a predicted model, not a curated record. The transcript is spliced from 2 exons.
UUAAAGUCGCACCUCUCAGUUCACUGAGCUUCUUCUUCCUCCUCCAUCUGUGAGAGAGUGAGACGAGGGUGAGAGACCCGAUCUUCCUUCUUCCUUCCUUCUUAUUCUUUCCCUUCUUCUGUUUCCCGAAUCCUCUCCUUCUCUUCUUUCCUUUUCUUUUCUCUUUUCUUCUUUCUUGCACUUUCCUUUCCCUUUUUCCGUCCGAGUCUCUAAAAAGGCACGAUCGUGGGAGAAGGGGAAAGUUGAGAGAGAUGGAGAAGAAGAAAUCGAGAGUUUGGGGGAGAGGGAAACUGAGAGAAACCAAGAGAGAGGAGAGAGACCCAGAGAUCGGGGAGGAGAAAAACAGAGAGGGAGAACCGAGAGAAGACCCGAGAGUUCUGUGAGAGCUGGAGAUCGAGAGACCCAGGAGACCCGUGACCCGUAAGUGCUGAACCCAGACGAAACCCAUCAACCCGUGAGCCAGAGAACGGCCGGAGACCCCAGUUCCGCGAUUUCCGGCGGUUUGAGAUCGGUUUCCGGCAGUCCAUUCCGUGACCUGUUCAACACGAUCUCCGGCGGAUUGGGGGUGCGAUUUCCGGUUAUUCUGGGGAAUUUUCGCAUACAGUGACCUAGCCGACGGUUAUAGUCUUUUGAAGCUGGGAGGAUCAUAUUAUCAUGGAAGAGGUGGGCAUUGUGAGUCUGAACUGGGAAGUGUGAACCUUCCAGUAUUGGCUGCUCAUGACUUCCUUAAGGUAGCUCGGCCAAUCUGGUGUUGUGCCAUCUCGGACAAUUUAGAGAGGUAUGCCGAGGAGCCUUUUGAUUCGAAUCUAGCAAAGAUUACAAGAUUCAGGAGGACCCCAAUUUUUAAAGGGAGCUCCCCCUUGAGUUGUGGCAAGGACUUAAUUGAUCGUUGCUUGCCUUUGUGGUUGACCAAUGAAGAGAGGCAAAAUGCAGAGUUUGAAGCCAUCAGGUUGAAGCUUUCCAAUAUCUCUAUUAAUCAGGGAGGACUUGAGGUUCUUAUUGAGAGUAAAUAGUUGUGAGAUGUUUCUCUGUAUUAAUUUUCUUCAUAGCCCAUGAUAUUCAUCUUGUUUCUCAAAUUCAUUUUCACCACCUCAUUUUUGCCGCUUUUGCUAUCAACUAAUCUUAUUCUCUGAGAUAGAUAUGCCUAGAAAAUGAGAUGUUACAUUGAAGGGUCUAACAAGAUGCGGAAAACAGAUUAUUGUGUUUGCUACUUUUUUGUCGAUAUAACACUGGAUUUUAAUUCGAGUGGAAUAGUUGUAUUUUAA